RNAcentral lists this ribosomal RNA (417 nucleotides) under uncultured bacterium. RNAcentral describes it as "bacterial SSU rRNA". It matches the Rfam family "Bacterial small subunit ribosomal RNA", at positions 9 to 426 of the family's 1533-position model. The record is from RNAcentral.
GAGUUUGAUCUUGGCUCAGGACAAACGCUGGCGGGGUGCAUGAGACAUGCAAGUCGAACGGGGUUGAGCGGGCUUGCUCGAUCAACCUAGUGGCGGACGGCUGAGUAACGCGUAGGUGACCUACCCGGAAGUGGGGAAUAACUGCCCGAAAGGGUGGCUAAUACCGCAUGUGGUCGGCGAUUCGGUUCGCCGUGCAAAGCCGCAAGGCGCUUCCGGAGGGGCCUGCGUCCGAUUAGCUAGUUGGUGGGGUAAUGGCUCACCAAGGCGACGAUCGGUAGCUGGUCUGAGAGGAUGAUCAGCCAGACUGGGACUGAGAACGGCCCAGACUCCUACGGGAGGCAGCAGUCGGGAAUUUUGCCCAAUGGACGAAAGUCUGAGGCAGCAACUCCGCGUGAGGGACGAAGGCCUUCGGGUCGU